Coffea arabica (coffee) is the source of this 132-nucleotide non-coding RNA. Lineage: Eukaryota; Viridiplantae; Streptophyta; Magnoliopsida; Gentianales; Rubiaceae. The record is from RefSeq and is a predicted model, not a curated record.
CGUGCGCUGGAGAUACAGUUCUUGGGAUUGUGGUAGAUUCUAGAUCAGAUAACUUUCUUGUGGACAUUAAAGGACCAACCUUGGCAUUUUUGCCUGUACUUGCAUUUGAAGGUGGAACAAGGAGGAACAUAC